GUUUUAGUAAUUUAAAAUAAAAUACUGGUCUUGUAAACCAAAAAUGAAAAUUUUCCUAAAACU
RNAcentral lists this transfer RNA (63 nucleotides) under Lachesilla pedicularia. Its description in RNAcentral is "tRNA-Thr". It matches the Rfam family "tRNA". Rfam says of the family: Transfer RNA (tRNA) molecules are approximately 80 nucleotides in length. Their secondary structure includes four short double-helical elements and three loops (D, anti-codon, and T loops). Lineage: Eukaryota; Metazoa; Arthropoda; Insecta; Psocodea; Lachesillidae. The record is from RNAcentral.